This is a small nuclear RNA of Hibiscus syriacus, 170 nucleotides long. RefSeq annotates it as U1 spliceosomal RNA. NCBI's taxonomy places the organism in Eukaryota, Viridiplantae, Streptophyta, Magnoliopsida, Malvales, Malvaceae. The record is from RefSeq and is a predicted model, not a curated record. The transcript has a single exon.
CAUCUUACCUGAACGAGGCCAAUGGACGAUCAUCAAGGUUCAUGGCCUAGGUAAGCGACCUCCAUUGCACUUUGGAGGGGUGCUCGCCUAAGGUUUCUCCAGUCCCCAUUGUAGGAGAGCCUACGUCAUAAUUUGUGGUAGUGGGUGAGUUCGAUCUCGAACCGAGCUUC